Long non-coding RNA from Nerophis ophidion (straightnose pipefish), 218 nucleotides. RefSeq lists it as uncharacterized. NCBI's taxonomy places the organism in Eukaryota, Metazoa, Chordata, Actinopteri, Syngnathiformes, Syngnathidae. The record is from RefSeq and is a predicted model, not a curated record. The transcript is spliced from 3 exons.
GACUUUUGCUGAUGAGGUAUCACUCCGCCAGAAAAGUAGAUACCUGUUUACGUGUUUUGUGUUUCCAAAACAGACUUUUGCUGAUGAGGUAUCACUCCGCCAGAAAAGUAGAGACCUGUGUAUGUGUUUCAUGUUUCCAACAAAGGUGGUCAAUAAAUGAUGAAACGACGGAAUGGUGGAGUGUCUCCUACUUAAAAAACUACACAAAGCAGAAUAAG